This 1807-nucleotide long non-coding RNA is filed under the name Homo sapiens (human). Its description in RNAcentral is "HSALNT0312006". The record is from RNAcentral. Lineage: Eukaryota; Metazoa; Chordata; Mammalia; Primates; Hominidae.
UGCUGGGAUUACAGGUGUGAGCCACCAUGCCCGGCCUAUGCAGACAUCUCUUACAGAGCUUCCAUUGUGUUCUUCCUAGAACACUUUCGCUGUCUUACUCUCUUGCUCUGCUGCCUUCAAUGGCUCCCUAUGACCCACAGUGGCACUUCACAAGGUGUAGAAUUGAGAGCUGCCCCUUAGGGAAUGCUAUAGUCUGUAGCUCUCCUUUUGGAGAAUCACAUCUGGACGUGUGAAUACAAGAGGCCCUGCAGGAGAGAAACCUGUUUAAGUGAGCUUAAUCCAGUCUGUUGGACCUGAAACUCUUGGCUCACCUAACACUUAUUAAAGUCUUGUGGAACACACUGGAAAAUGUUGGACCACAGAGUACAGGCUAAAGUUUCUAUCUGAAUUCCAGCCCUUCUACAUUUCAGUCUACUCUCAAUUUCCUUUCUUGUGACUUCUUGUCAACAGACCAACCCCCACCCCCAAUACCUAUUUCUCCCUCCAGCCUUCACACUCUUGUAGUUUAAGAAUGAGAUAAUCUUGUAGCUGCUGGGAGUUUCCAUGAAGGGGGACUGGCCCAGGAAUGAGGUCAACCAGAGAAAAGUAGAGCCCUGAGAGAGGGACUAGGUCCUGAAGACUUCAUUUAAGACACAGGAUCCAGCCUUGCUUGAUGUCAUUACUCCUAGACUUUCACGUACAAGAGCCAAAAAAUUGUCUUUUCUUCCCCCUUAACCCAGGGCUCCUGCAACCAAAAGAACACUUGACUGUGGCAUCUUUCCAGCCUCCUGUUAGCAGCUAGGUAAGGUGCCCCCAUGGCAAGGAGCUGCGGGCAGCCUCAAGAAACUGGGUGGCCUCUUAGGACCUGAGGGCAGCCUCCAACAAGCAAGCAGCAAACCUCUGGGGCCUUCUGUUCUACAACUGCAAGGAAAUAAAUUCUGCCAACAGCCUGAAUGAGCACGGAAGUGAACUCUUUCUCAGUCGAGCCUCUGAAUGAGAACACAGUUCAACUCAUGCCUUGACUGCAGCUUGUGAGAGUCUGAGAAGAGGACCAGGAGCAACUCUAGUUGACUCUCCACUCCCACGCUGCAGGAAUUGACGGCGCACAGGGAACAGUUUCUACUGCUGUCCUUCCCGUUACCUCCUCCAAUGGGGCUUCAGUCACCACCUCUCUGGAAGGUGAUGAUGGUCGGCAGCUCCAUAUCGCCAGCCGUGACUCUGCCCUGAAAUCUAGCCCAAGGGAGCCAACUGCCUGUUUUGUCAGGUAACACCGACAAAAAUAGCAGCCAUUUGUUGAGCUCACACUAUGUGUCAAGGACUGUGCUCAGUAGAUUCUAUUACUGAUCUAUUUUAUAGAUGAGGAAACUGAGGCUGAGAGAUCAAGGAGGUGGCCAAGGUUACAGAGCUAGUGAGAUGGGGAGCAGGAGUCAAACUGUGGGUUGUCUGACUUCACUGCCCAGGCUUCUCAUGCUGUGCUAGAGCUGACUCUAGUGAGCUGACCUCAGCCCUCCCGUGCCAAGAUCCUUGGCCUGGUUCCUCUGACUUCAUCAACCUCUGGCCCCUGUGUCCUCUCUCUUACAGUACUCACCCCUCAUCCUGCCCUGCCCAGCCCCUGCCUGCUGCUCUGGCCUGACCAACUUGCUCUCAGUGCCCUGAGUGCCAGCAAGGCCUCUCUCCUCUGGCCUUUGUGUAAGCAGAUCUUUCUACCUAGAACACUGUUGCCCUCUUUUUGCCUGGCUUCUUCCUUCAGGACUCUGCUUAGAUGGCACCUCCUCCAGGAAGCCUUCCCUGAUAUUCCCCUCCCUAGGAUUGGGUACCCUAGGGCCAU